UACGAAGGGGGCGAGCGUUGUUCGGAUUUACUGGGCGUAAAGGGCGCGCAGGCGGCUCAUCAAGUCAGGCGUGAAAGCCCCGGGCUUAACCUGGGAGGUGCGUCUGGGACUGGUGGGCUAGAGAUCGGGAGAGGAGAGUGGAAUUCCCAGUGUAGAGGUGAAAUUCGUAGAUAUUGGGAAGAACACCGGUGGCGAAGGCGGCUCACUGGACCACAACUGACGCUGAGGCGCGAAAGCUAGGGGAGCAAACAGG
Molecule: ribosomal RNA, 253 nt
Filed under: uncultured bacterium
Lineage: Bacteria
Description: partial 16S ribosomal RNA
Rfam family: Bacterial small subunit ribosomal RNA
Source: RNAcentral